CCUACGGGAGGCAGCAGUAGGGAAUCUUCCGCAAUGGACGAAAGUCUGACGGAGCAACGCCGCGUGAACGAUGAAGGUUUUCGGAUCGUAAAGUUCUGUUGUUAGGGAAGAACAAGUACCGAACGAAUAGGUCGGUACCUUGACGGUACCUAACGAGGAAGCCCCGGCUAACUACGUGCCAGCAGCCGCGGUAAUACGUAGGGGGCGAGCGUUGUCCGGAAUUAUUGGGCGUAAAGCGCGCGCAGGCGGUUUCUUAAGUCUGAUGUGAAAGCCCACGGCUUAACCGUGGAGGGUCAUUGGAAACUGGGGAACUUGAGUACAGAAGAGGAGAGCGGAAUUCCACGUGUAGCGGUGAAAUGCGUAGAUAUGUGGAGGAACACCAGUGGCGAGGGCGGCUCUCUGGUCUGUAACUGACGCUGAGGCGCGAAAGCGUGGGGAGCGAACAGGAUUAGAUACCCUGGUAGUCCACGCCGUAAACGAUGAGUGCUAGGUGUUAGGGGGUUUCCGCCCCUUAGUGCUGAAGUUAACGCAUUAAGCACUCCGCCUGGGGAGUACGGCCGCAAGGCUGAAACUCAAAAGAAUUGACGGGGGCCCGCACAAGCGGUGGAGCAUGUGGUUUAAUUCGAAGCAACGCGAAGAACCUUAC
Molecule: ribosomal RNA, 646 nt
Filed under: uncultured Sediminibacillus sp.
Lineage: Bacteria; Bacillati; Bacillota; Bacilli; Caryophanales; Bacillaceae
Description: bacterial SSU rRNA
Rfam family: Bacterial small subunit ribosomal RNA
Source: RNAcentral